This is a long non-coding RNA of Brienomyrus brachyistius, 354 nucleotides long. RefSeq lists it as uncharacterized. The transcript is spliced from 3 exons. NCBI's taxonomy places the organism in Eukaryota, Metazoa, Chordata, Actinopteri, Osteoglossiformes, Mormyridae. The record is from RefSeq and is a predicted model, not a curated record.
CUGAGCGGCAUCUCUGAUCUGGCUCUGUCAGCAGCCAUAGCACCUGCAGGUCAGCCUAGGUAAGCCACCUGCAGGUCAGCCUAGGCAAGCCACCUGCAGGUCAGCCUAGGUAAGCCACCUGCAGGUCAGCCUAGGUAAGCCACCUGCAGGUCAGCCUAGGUAAGCCACCUGCAGGUCAGCCUAGGUAAGCCUAGCUAGCUAAGCAGGUCUGGGCCUACUUGGAUGGGAGACCAAAUUAGGAAAGCUGGGUUGCUGGUGAAACAGGUGUUGGUGUGGCCAAAAGGUCUGUGUGGAUGUCCCAGUGCAGUGAUGGGGACACUUUGCUAAAAAAUGGUGCUGUCCUUCAGAUGAAAU